UCCCUGGUGGUCCAGUGGCUAAGACUCUGUGCUCCUGAUACAUAGGGCCUGGGUUCGAUCCCUGGUCAGGGAA
Molecule: transfer RNA, 73 nt
Filed under: Bos taurus (domestic cattle)
Lineage: Eukaryota; Metazoa; Chordata; Mammalia; Artiodactyla; Bovidae
Also listed under: 1 other name
Rfam family: tRNA
About the family: Transfer RNA (tRNA) molecules are approximately 80 nucleotides in length.
Source: Rfam by way of RNAcentral